ACCUGUGUUCCAGGGAAUGAUUUAACCAACAGGUGGCAAUAGGUUAAGAGGAAUGAUUUAAAGCACUCGCAUGUGAAAUGGAUGGAAUCUGCCUGCGGCACAGGUGAAAGAAUGGAGAUGUACUGAAAGUCUGAACUUCUACUAAAACAAUUGCACAUUCAAACUGUUAAUAAUUUAAUUUGCAGUAGUUUGUGGUGCUGAAUUCCUUUUGGAAUCGGUGGCACAUAUGGAAAAACGGGGUGUAAUGAAGGUC
RNAcentral lists this long non-coding RNA (253 nucleotides) under Setaria italica (foxtail millet). RNAcentral's name for it is "long non-coding RNA (SITA_LNC005483)". The record is from RNAcentral. Lineage: Eukaryota; Viridiplantae; Streptophyta; Magnoliopsida; Poales; Poaceae.